RNAcentral lists this ribosomal RNA (399 nucleotides) under Caenogastropoda sp. Its description in RNAcentral is "partial small subunit ribosomal RNA". It matches the Rfam family "Eukaryotic small subunit ribosomal RNA", at positions 582 to 975 of the family's 1831-position model. The record is from RNAcentral. Lineage: Eukaryota; Metazoa; Mollusca; Gastropoda.
AUUCCAGCUCCAAUAGCGUAUACUAAAGUUGUUGCGAUUAAAAAGCUCGUAGUUGGAUCUCAGGUAUGGGCGCGCGGUCCGCCUCACGGCGGUCACUGCGUGUAUUUUUCCCAUCCUACGCUUCCCGGUUGUCAGCCCAUGGUGCUCUUCAUUGAGCGUUUUGGGUGGCCGGAAAUUUACUUUGAAGAAAUUAGAGUGUUCAAAGCAGGCACGUCGCCUGAAUAAUGGUGCAUGGAAUAAUGGAAUAGGACCUCGGUUCUAUUUUGCUGGUUUUCGGAACACGAGGUAAUGAUUAAGAGGGACAGACGGGGGCAUCCGUAUUGCGGUGUUAGAGGUGAAAUUCUUGGAUCAUCGCAAGACGAACAACUGCGAAAGCAUUUGCCAAGCAUGUUUUCAUUG